This 827-nucleotide ribosomal RNA is filed under the name uncultured bacterium. RNAcentral describes it as "bacterial SSU rRNA". It matches the Rfam family "Bacterial small subunit ribosomal RNA", at positions 28 to 849 of the family's 1533-position model. The record is from RNAcentral.
AUUGAACGCUGGCGGCAUGCCUUACACAUGCAAGUCGAACGGCAGCACGGGAGCAAUCCUGGUGGCGAGUGGCGAACGGGUGAGUAAUGUAUCGGAACGUACCUUUCAGUGGGGGAUAACGUAGCGAAAGUUACGCUAAUACCGCAUAUUCUGUGAGCAGGAAAGCAGGGGAUUGCAAGACCUUGCGCUGAUUGAGCGGCCGAUAUCAGAUUAGCUAGUUGGUGAGGUAAAGGCUCACCAAGGCGACGAUCUGUAGCGGGUCUGAGAGGAUGAUCCGCCACACUGGAACUGAGACACGGUCCAGACUCCUACGGGAGGCAGCAGUGGGGAAUUUUGGACAAUGGGGGCAACCCUGAUCCAGCCAUGCCGCGUGAGUGAAGAAGGCCUUCGGGUUGUAAAGCUCUUUCAGCCGGGAAGAGAUCACAUGGGUUAAUACCCUGUGUGGAUGACGGUACCGGAAUAAGAAGCACCGGCUAACUACGUGCCAGCAGCCGCGGUAAUACGUAGGGUGCGAGCGUUAAUCGGAAUUACUGGGCGUAAAGCGUGCGCAGGCGGUUUGUUAAGAUAGGCGUGAAAUCCCCGGGCUCAACCUGGGAACUGCGUUUAUGACUGGCAGGCUAGAGUAUGGCAGAGGGGGGUGGAAUUCCACGUGUAGCAGUGAAAUGCGUAGAGAUGUGGAGGAACACCGAUGGCGAAGGCAGCCCCCUGGGCCAAUACUGACGCUCAUGCACGAAAGCGUGGGUAGCGAACAGGAUUAGAUACCCUGGUAGUCCACGCCCUAAACGAUGUCAACUAGGUGUUGGGUGGGUAAAACCAUUUAGUACCGG